UUUUCAUACCGAAAUCAUUAUGCAGAUUGUUUCUCAAAUCCAUUGAACAUAAUGAUCUGACGUCAUCUCCCAAUUUUGAAUUCCCUGUAUUCGAAGCGGAAGAAGAUGAUGUUGAAGGGAUUCCUGACGAGAUUUCCCGACUUCUUGAGCAAGGAAAGAAGAUCACUCAGCUGCAUCUCGAGAAUCAGCAGAACAGCCAACUGGGGCAUCAAAAAGGAAAAAACAAAAAAAAAACAAAAAAAAAAAGAGGAGGGUGCAAAAU
Molecule: long non-coding RNA, 262 nt
Filed under: Lathyrus oleraceus (garden pea)
Lineage: Eukaryota; Viridiplantae; Streptophyta; Magnoliopsida; Fabales; Fabaceae
Description: Pisum sativum (pea) long non-coding RNA (PSAT_LNC006534)
Source: RNAcentral